This 577-nucleotide ribosomal RNA is filed under the name Trichoderma virens. RNAcentral's name for it is "eukaryotic LSU rRNA". The stretch from base 211 to 364 matches the Rfam family "5.8S ribosomal RNA". Lineage: Eukaryota; Fungi; Ascomycota; Sordariomycetes; Hypocreales; Hypocreaceae. The record is from RNAcentral.
GGGAUCAUUACCGAGUUUACAACUCCCAAACCCAAUGUGAACGUUACCAAACUGUUGCCUCGGCGGGAUCUCUGCCCCGGGUGCGUCGCAGCCCCGGACCAAGGCGCCCGCCGGAGGACCAACCAAAACUCUUAUUGUAUACCCCCUCGCGGGUUUUUUACUAUCUGAGCCAUCUCGGCGCCCCUCGUGGGCGUUUCGAAAAUGAAUCAAAACUUUCAACAACGGAUCUCUUGGUUCUGGCAUCGAUGAAGAACGCAGCGAAAUGCGAUAAGUAAUGUGAAUUGCAGAAUUCAGUGAAUCAUCGAAUCUUUGAACGCACAUUGCGCCCGCCAGUAUUCUGGCGGGCAUGCCUGUCCGAGCGUCAUUUCAACCCUCGAACCCCUCCGGGGGGUCGGCGUUGGGGAUCGGCCCUUUACGGGGCCGGCCCCGAAAUACAGUGGCGGUCUCGCCGCAGCCUCUCCUGCGCAGUAGUUUGCACACUCGCAUCGGGAGCGCGGCGCGUCCACAGCCGUUAAACACCCCAAACUUCUGAAAUGUUGACCUCGGAUCAGGUAGGAAUACCCGCUGAACUUAAGCA